RNAcentral lists this ribosomal RNA (406 nucleotides) under uncultured bacterium. RNAcentral describes it as "partial 16S ribosomal RNA". It matches the Rfam family "Bacterial small subunit ribosomal RNA", at positions 29 to 526 of the family's 1533-position model. The record is from RNAcentral.
AUUGAACGCUGGCGGCAGGCCUAACACAUGCAAGUCGAGCGAGCGGCGGACGGGUGGGUAAUGUCUGGGAAACUGCCUGAUGGAUGGGGAUGACUACUGGAAACGGUAGCUAAUACAGCAUACCAUCAGAUGUGCCCAGAUGGGCUUUGCUAGUGUGUGGGGUGACGGAUCACCUAGGCGACGAUCCCUAGCUGGGCGGAGAGGAUGACCAGCCACACUGGAACUGAGACGAGGUCCAGACUCCACCGGGAGGGGGCAUUGGGGAAAAGUGCACAAGGGGCGCAAGGCUGAUGCAGCCCUGCCGCGUGGGGGAAGAAGGCCUUGGGGUUGUAAAGCACUUUCAGUGGGAAAGCGGUAUCCGCAGAAGAAGCACCGGCUAACUCCGUGCCAGCAGCCGCGGUAAUAC